UCCGAGUUGUCCCCGGCAGUCCUCUUAGAGUCCCCGGCAUUACCCGCUGGCAACUAAGAGCAGGGGUUGCGCUCGUUGCGGCACUUAAGCCAACACCUCACGGCACGAGCUGACGACAGCCAUGCAGCACCUGUGCUAGCCCCUUACGGACACGGGCUUUCACCCGCUUUAACUAGCAUGUCAAGCCUAGGUAAGGUGGGAUGACGUCACACGCAAUAACA
Molecule: unclassified non-coding RNA, 221 nt
Filed under: uncultured Actinomycetes bacterium
Lineage: Bacteria; Bacillati; Actinomycetota; Actinomycetes
Description: uncultured actinobacterium contains 16S-23S intergenic spacer region
Source: RNAcentral